AAGUGGCGGCAGCUAUACAUGCAAGUCGAGCGAAUGGAUUGAGAGCUUGCUCCUUAUGAAGUUUAGCGGCGGACGGGUGAGUAACACGUGGGUAACCUGCCCAUAAGACUGGGAUAACUCCGGGAAACCGGGGCUAAUACCGGAUAACAUUUUGAACUGCAUGGUUCGAAAUUGAAAGGCGGCUUCGGCUGUCACUUAUGGAUGGACCCGCGUCGCAUUAGCUAGUUGGUGAGGUAACGGCUCACCAAGGCAACGAUGCGUAGCCGACCUGAGAGGGUGAUCGGCCACACUGGGACUGAGACACGGCCCAGACUCCUACGGGAGGCAGCAGUAGGGAAUCUUCCGCAAUGGACGAAAGUCUGACGGAGCAACGCCGCGUGAGUGAUGAAGGCUUUCGGGUCGUAAAACUCUGUUGUUAGGGAAGAACAAGUGCUAGUUGAAUAAGCUGGCACCUUGACGGUACCUAACCAGAAAGCCACGGCUAACUACGUGCCAGCAGCCGCGGUAAUGCGUAGGUGGGCAAGCGUUAUCCGGAAUUAUUGGGCGUAAAGCGCGCGCAGGUGGUUUCUUAAGUCUGAUGUGAAAGCCCACGGCUCAACCGUGGAGGGUCAUUGGAAACUGGGAGACUUGAGUGCAGAAGAGGAAAGUGGAAUUCCAUGUGUAGCGGGUGAAAUGCGUAGAGAUAUGGAGGAACACCAGUUGGCGAAAGCGACUUUCUGGUCUGUAACUGACACUGAGCGCGAAAGCGGUGGGGGAGCAAACAGGAUUAGAUACCCUGGUAGUCCACCGCCGUAAACGAUGAGUGCUAAGUGUUAGAAGGGGUUUCCGCCCUUAGUGCUGAAGUUAACGCAUUAAGCACUCCGCCUGGGGAGUACGCCGCAAGGCUGAAACUCAAGAAUGGACGGGGCCCGCCACAGCCGUUGCAGCCAUGGUGGUUAAUCGAAGCACCGCGAGAUCUACAGGUCCUGGACAUCAUCUGAAAUCCUAAGAAUAGUCUCCUUCGUGAGCGACUGACAGCGC
RNAcentral lists this ribosomal RNA (1020 nucleotides) under Bacillus sp. (in: firmicutes). RNAcentral describes it as "bacterial SSU rRNA". It matches the Rfam family "Bacterial small subunit ribosomal RNA", at positions 37 to 1041 of the family's 1533-position model. The record is from RNAcentral. Lineage: Bacteria; Bacillati; Bacillota; Bacilli; Caryophanales; Bacillaceae.